This 442-nucleotide ribosomal RNA is filed under the name uncultured bacterium. Its description in RNAcentral is "partial 16S ribosomal RNA". It matches the Rfam family "Bacterial small subunit ribosomal RNA", at positions 338 to 795 of the family's 1533-position model. The record is from RNAcentral.
CCUACGGGUGGCAGCAGUAGGGAAUCUUUCACAAUGGGCGAAAGCCUGAUGGAGCAACGCCGCGUGCAGGAUGAAGGCCUUCGGGUUGUAAACUGCCUUUAUAAGCGAGACAUAUGAUGGUAACUUAUGAAUAAGGAUCGGCUAACUACGUGACAGCAGCCGCGGUCAUACGUAGGAUCCGAGCAUUAUCCGGAGUGACUGGGUGUAAAGAGUUGCGUAGGUGGGAUAAUAAGUAGCUAGUGAAAUCUGGUGGCUCAACCAUUCAGACUAUUAGCUAAACUGUUAAGCUCGAGACCGUUAGGGGUAACUGGAAUUUGUAGUGUAGGAGUGAAAUCCGUAGAUAUUAGAAGGAACACCAAUAGCGUAGGCAGGUUGCUGGGACGGUACUGACACUAAGGCACGAAAGCGUAGGGAGCAAACGGGAUUAGAUACCCCAGUAGUC